CCUUCUCAUUUGAUCCUUGUAAGGAGCUGAGGGGAUAGGGUGAGCCUGGAGCAUGAUAAUUCCCAUUUUAAAGAUGAGUGAACUGAAGCCCAGAGACGUAAAGUGACUUUUCCCAGAGUCACAUGUCAGUUUAAGUGUUCCCCGCUCAACCUCCAAACCAGUAAGAAGAGCGCAGCAUCCUUGCUCAGUGAAGAUGGUGUCCCGGAUGUAAACGACAGCACAAGAGGCUGGUUCCUGACAUGGCCUUACAGUCUUCCAUGGCCCCUGUGAGCAGGCCCGUGAGUAAUGAGGCUCUGCCGCUGGAGAGAGGAGCCUUUUCAACAGCCUCUCCAGGACAGAAAGAGAGAGCCACAUUUAGAGGCACCCACGCCCUCGGGAACCCACCUGGCCAUCCCAGGCCCCUCUGCCUCUCCAAAGCAGGGCAGAGGGGGCUCUCCUGAGGCUCAGCCCUGAAGAAAGCCCUCGGCAGGGUGCUCAACAGAACAGAAGAUGCAAGAUCUGGGUCUUGAAAACAGCAGUCGACAAACUACAGCCCGCAGGCCAAGUCCACCUGCCACCUGUUUUUUGAAUAAAGUCUUAUUGAAACAAAGGCACA
Molecule: long non-coding RNA, 595 nt
Organism: Suricata suricatta (meerkat)
Lineage: Eukaryota; Metazoa; Chordata; Mammalia; Carnivora; Herpestidae
Exons: 3
Source: RefSeq, a predicted model, not a curated record